AGUCAUAUGCUUGUCUCAAAGAUUAAGCCAUGCAUGUCUCAGUACAAGCCAAAUUAAGGUGAAACCGCGAAAGGCUCAUUAAAUCAGUUAUGGUUCCUUAGAUCGUACCCACAUUUACUUGGAUAACUGUGGUAAUUCUAGAGCUAAUACAUGCCAACAGAACUCCGACCGGAGACGGAAGGAGUGCCUUUAUUAGAUCAAAACCAAUCGGUGGCAUGGCCUUGGUGCUGUGUCAUCGUACAACAUGGUGAAUCUGAAUAACGUUUGCUGAUCGCACGGUCUCGCACCGGCGACGCAUCUUUCAAAUGUCUGCCUUAUCAACUGUCGAUGGUAGGUUCUGCGCCUACCAUGGUUGUAACGGGUAACGGGGAAUCAGGGUUCGAUUCCGGAGAGGGAGCCUGAGAAACGGCUACCACAUCCAAGGAAGGCAGCAGGCGCGCAAAUUACCCACUCCCGGCACGGGGAGGUAGUGACGAAAAAUAACGAUACGGGACUCAUCCGAGGCCCCGUAAUCGGAAUGAGCACACUUUAAAUCCUUUCACGAGGAUCAAUCGGAGGGCAAGUCAGGUGCCAGCAGCCGCGGUAAUUCCUGCUCCGAUAGCGUAU
This 606-nucleotide ribosomal RNA is filed under the name Remyella javorensis. RNAcentral's name for it is "SSU rRNA". It matches the Rfam family "Eukaryotic small subunit ribosomal RNA", at positions 22 to 602 of the family's 1831-position model. Lineage: Eukaryota; Metazoa; Arthropoda; Insecta; Coleoptera; Leiodidae. The record is from RNAcentral. RNAcentral also lists the same sequence under 3 other names.